RNAcentral lists this transfer RNA (88 nucleotides) under bacterium. RNAcentral describes it as "tRNA-Leu". It matches the Rfam family "tRNA". Rfam says of the family: Transfer RNA (tRNA) molecules are approximately 80 nucleotides in length. Their secondary structure includes four short double-helical elements and three loops (D, anti-codon, and T loops). Further hydrogen bonds mediate the characteristic L-shaped molecular structure. tRNAs have two regions of fundamental functional importance: the anti-codon, which is responsible for specific mRNA codon recognition, and the 3' end, to which the tRNAs corresponding amino acid is attached (by aminoacyl-tRNA synthetases). tRNAs cope with the degeneracy of the genetic code in two manners: having more than one tRNA (with a specific anti-codon) for a particular amino acid; and 'wobble' base-pairing, i.e. permitting non-standard base-pairing at the 3rd anti-codon position. The record is from RNAcentral.
GCCGGAGUGGCGGAACUUGGUAGACGCACGGGACUCAAAAUCCCGCGAUGGUGACAUCGUAUCGGUUCGAGUCCGAUCUCCGGCACCA